Molecule: ribosomal RNA, 585 nt
Filed under: uncultured bacterium
Lineage: Bacteria
Description: bacterial SSU rRNA
Rfam family: Bacterial small subunit ribosomal RNA
Source: RNAcentral
CCUACGGGAGGCAGCAGUGGGGAAUUUUGGACAAUGGGGGCAACCCUGAUCCAGCAAUGCCGCGUGAGUGAAGAAGGCCCUCGGGUUGUAAAGCUCUUUUGUCAGGGAAGAAACGGUCUACUCUAAUACAGUGGGCUAAUGACGGUACCUGAAGAAUAAGCACCGGCUAACUACGUGCCAGCAGCCGCGGUAAUACGUAGGGUGCAAGCGUUAAUCGGAAUUACUGGGCGUAAAGCGUGCGCAGGCGGUUUUAUAAGACAGAGGUGAAAUCCCCGGGCUCAACCUGGGAACUGCCUUUGUGACUGUAAGGCUAGAGUGUGUCAGAGGGGGGUAGAAUUCCACGUGUAGCAGUGAAAUGCGUAGAUAUGUGGAGGAAUACCGAUGGCGAAGGCAGCCCCCUGGGAUAACACUGGCGCUCAUGCACGAAAGCGUGGGGAGCAAACAGGAUUAGAUACCCUGGUAGUCCACGCCCUAAACGAUGUCUACUAGUUGUCGGGACUUAAUUGUCUUGGUAACGCAGCUAACGCGUGAAGUAGACCGCCUGGGGAGUACGGUCGCAAGAUUAAAACUUAAAGGAAUUGACGG